Long non-coding RNA from Nematolebias whitei (Rio pearlfish), 355 nucleotides. RefSeq lists it as uncharacterized. NCBI's taxonomy places the organism in Eukaryota, Metazoa, Chordata, Actinopteri, Cyprinodontiformes, Rivulidae. The transcript is spliced from 3 exons. The record is from RefSeq and is a predicted model, not a curated record.
ACUGGAGACCUGUCCAGGAUGUUCCUGUGAUGGACUGGAGACCUGUCCAGGGUGUCCCCCGCCUCUCAGUAGUUUUAACACCCAGAGAAAUCAUUAAGACACAGGAUACCAACAGUUUGUAAAACAGGUAAGUGCUUUUUUUCAAUAAUGGGGGGACACAGGAACACAAGAAGGAGCUGCAGGAGAUUGAAGAAUUUGAGGAUACCGGAGGAUUCCAGGAUGAUGUAGAAUGACCGGUGAACAGAUGACUGCUCCAGAGGAGCGUUCAUGGAGGACUCAAUCACCGUUACCAGGGAUAGAUUCAAGACUGGUCAAGGAGACGAGGAAUAACUUGAAAAAGGAGCUACAGGGAGUG